UGGAGAGAAGAUUCCAUGACGGCAAUCAGUGUGCCGCAGGCCAGGCUACCUCCUUCAUCUUCGUGGUCAAGUGGGCUCUUUAUAACAAAACCUGGAAUCCAUGGCUGCUGGUCAUCCCGGAGGGCCUUUUGUGUUUGCAACUUCAAGCAUGUUUUGGCUCCGAACCUAAACUUUCUGGAUUUUCUGAGAAGUUCAGAUAUAAAUUAGAGUAUUGUUUGGAUCUCUUUAAUCCCACCCAGCACGCAAAUAUCCGUGAUAUGUGUAACCAAGGGCGCUCUUACUAAACUUCAGUAAACAGAAAAGGACAGAAGAUUCCUAGACAUUGGACACCUGCCUCAGUGUUUCUGCUGCAGUGACAGAUCCCAAAUUUCUAUAUGGACUGAACCACCAAAGCAAGGACCUGAAUCCAGUACCACAUUGUAUUUAGUCAUCAUGUCUCCUGAUGGUUCUCGUAUGGACAUGAAUUUUCAACUCUGGGUAAAUACCAAGAAGCAUGACUGCUGGAGCAUAUGGAAAGAGUAUGUUUAGUUUUGUAAGAAACCAACAAACUGUCUUCCAAAGUGGCUGUACCAUUUUGCAUUCUUACCAGCAAUGAAGGAUACUUUCUGUUUCUCCACAUCUCUGCCAGCAUUUGGUGUAGCCAGUGUUUUAGCUUUUAUUCUUUCUAAUAGGUGUUAGUAGUAUCUCAUUGCUGUUUUAAUUUGCAUUUCCCUGAUGACAUAUGGUGCGGAGCAUCUUCAUAAGCUUAUUUGCCAUCUGUAUAGCUUCUUUGGUGAAGUGUCGCUUCUUUUAGGGGACUGAAAUUACAUGAUUUUGUUCACAAGUCAGAAAGGCAAUUUUUUCUCUUUAGUCUUCAAAUUAGAGAAUUUAGAUCUAUCUUCAAAGUCACUC
Molecule: long non-coding RNA, 891 nt
Organism: Rhinolophus ferrumequinum (greater horseshoe bat)
Lineage: Eukaryota; Metazoa; Chordata; Mammalia; Chiroptera; Rhinolophidae
Exons: 3
Source: RefSeq, a predicted model, not a curated record